Molecule: transfer RNA, 72 nt
Filed under: Marmota monax (woodchuck)
Lineage: Eukaryota; Metazoa; Chordata; Mammalia; Rodentia; Sciuridae
Description: tRNA.Ala
Rfam family: tRNA
About the family: Transfer RNA (tRNA) molecules are approximately 80 nucleotides in length.
Source: RNAcentral
UGGGUUGUAGCUCAGCAGUAGAGUACUUGCCUGGCAUGUAUGAGGCACUGGGUUUGAUCCUCAGCAGCAUGC